AGCAGCCGCGGUAAUUCCAGCUCCAAUAGCGUAUAUUAAAGUUGCUGCAGUUAAAAAGCUCGUAGUUGAAUUUCGGGAUCAAUAUGUUGGUCGUGCCUCGGUACGUACUAGCUUAUUGGUUUCUCCCUUCUGACGAACCAUGAUGUCAUUUAUUUGGUGUUAUGGGAAAUCAGGACUGUUACUUUGAAAAAUUAGAGUGUUUAAAGCAGGCUCACGCUUGAAUACAUUAGCAUGGAAUAAUGAAAUAGGACGUUUGAUUCUAUUUUGUUGGUUUCUAGGAUCGACGUAAUGGUUAAUAGGGAUAGUUGGGGGCAUUAGUAUUCAAUUGUCAGAGGUGAAAUUCUUGGAUUUAUUGAAGACUAACUACUGCGAAAGCAUUUGCCAAGGAUGUUUUCAUUAAUCAAGAACGAAAGUUAGGGGAUCGAAGACGAUCAGAUACCGUCGUAGUCUUAACCAUAAACUAUGCCGACUAGGGAUCGGAUGACGUUAAUUUUUAAUGACUCAUUCGGCGCCUUAACC
Molecule: unclassified non-coding RNA, 519 nt
Filed under: uncultured Glomus
Lineage: Eukaryota; Fungi; Glomeromycota; Glomeromycetes; Glomerales; Glomeraceae
Description: SSU rRNA
Rfam family: Eukaryotic small subunit ribosomal RNA
Source: RNAcentral